Molecule: transfer RNA, 27 nt
Filed under: Campanula austroadriatica
Lineage: Eukaryota; Viridiplantae; Streptophyta; Magnoliopsida; Asterales; Campanulaceae
Description: partial tRNA-Met
Source: RNAcentral
UCACGGGUUCAAAUCCGGUCUCCCCAA